CAGUAGCCGCUGGAAUACGUAGGGUGCAAGCGUUAAUCGGAAUUACUGGGCGUAAAGCGUGCGCAGGCGGUUAUAUAAGACAGAUGUGAAAUCCCCGGGCUCAACCUGGGAACUGCAUUUGUGACUGUAUAGCUAGAGUACGGCAGAGGGGGAUGGAAUUCCGCGUGUAGCAGUGAAAUGCGUAGAUAUGCGGAGGAACACCGAUGGCGAAGGCAAUCCCCUGGGCCUGUACUGACGCUCAUGCAAGAAAGCGUGGGGAGCAAACAGGAUUAGAUACCCCCGUAGUCCCUGUCUCUUAUAC
This 301-nucleotide ribosomal RNA is filed under the name uncultured bacterium. RNAcentral's name for it is "partial 16S ribosomal RNA". It matches the Rfam family "Bacterial small subunit ribosomal RNA", at positions 509 to 807 of the family's 1533-position model. The record is from RNAcentral.